GCACCCACAAGGUGCUAGCAAUACUCCACAGCUGUGAUAAGCUGCAAAGAACCGCAGAAGUAUGCUCUCUAGUUGCCUGGUUUACCGGCAUUGCUUGGAACCUCGCUCUCAAGCCCGAGGUCGACCCGUACCUCCAGUUCCGCCUGUUCCAGAGCUGUGGCAGUGUGCUCUUGGCUGUACGGUCAGAAGCAACAAUGAAUGCAAAAGUAGACGCGCAGCUCGAAACCUACGCAACGAUGGCAGCCAUCUCCGGCAUCAGCGCUGCUCUCAGUGUUGACAGUGACCAAGUGAAGUUUGAUGUAUUAAGGGAUGUUCAAGCGAUUGCAUCUUGGCACAAGAACAGAUCGUCAGUUCUACAAAUAUCUAAGGGCUGUAAUUCGAC
This is a long non-coding RNA of Ornithodoros turicata, 382 nucleotides long. RefSeq lists it as uncharacterized. Lineage: Eukaryota; Metazoa; Arthropoda; Arachnida; Ixodida; Argasidae. The transcript is spliced from 3 exons. The record is from RefSeq and is a predicted model, not a curated record.